UGGGGAAUAUUGGACAAUGGGCGCAAGCCUGAUCCAGCAAUGCCGCGUGUGUGAAGAAGGCCUGCGGGUUGUAAAGCACUUUCAGUAGAGAAGAAAAGCUCAAGGUCAAUACCCUUGGGUCUUGACGUAACCUACAGAAGAAGCACCGGCUAACUCCGUGCCAGCAGCCGCGGUAAUACGGAGGGUGCGAGCGUUAAUCGGAAUUACUGGGCGUAAAGCGCGCGUAGGCGGUUUGGUAAGUCGGAUGUGAAAGCCCCGGGCUUAACCUGGGAAUUGCAUUCGAUACUGCCUGACUAGAGUAUGGUAGAGGGAAGUGGAAUUUCCGGUGUAGCGGUGAAAUGCGUAGAUAUCGGAAGGAACACCAGUGGCGAAGGCGACUUCCUGGGCCAAUACUGACGCUGAGGUGCGAAAGCGUGGGGAGCAAACAGGAUUAGAUACCCCCGUAGUCC
RNAcentral lists this ribosomal RNA (449 nucleotides) under uncultured prokaryote. RNAcentral describes it as "bacterial SSU rRNA". It matches the Rfam family "Bacterial small subunit ribosomal RNA", at positions 355 to 796 of the family's 1533-position model. The record is from RNAcentral.